GGAGACUUGUCCCUGUGCCUCCUUCCCUGCAGGCUGCAAAGCCUCUGCUUGGGCUGGUGGCCCCUCGGCCAGGAAAGCCGCUCGGCGAGUGGGAGGGGAGCCAGGCACCGCUUGGGUAGCAUCGCCAUGGCAACGCUCUCCCUUCUCCGCUCCUCGCUGAGACCCGGGCAUCUGUGGCCAUGGAGACUGGUCGCACCACUGGCACAUCUGCAUAGCAACCAGAGAGGGUGCCGAGCGCAGCUGGGCCCCGCUUCAGGAGAGCAGACCCAACCCAGGACAUUUAUGGUGGAGAACCAUCUCAUGGAGUAAAGCUGCAAAGAGUUGCCAGGAUGAUCCUUGUUUCCCACAUGGAGAGGUCCAGCAUUGUGGGGAUCAGUAAGAGAAACACAAAGCAGACCAGGAAACACAUGUGAAGGAAGUGGCCAUCAUCCAGAAGAAAGCUCUUCCAACUCGUGAGAGAGCCGGGGAGGACCAUGCGAUUGAGGAGAUGAGUUUUGUGCAUUUUCAUCUUUCUGCGCACAUACCUAGCACGUUCAAGGGUUGCAUAACAAUGUAAACAGUCACCAGAGAGGUGAAAAUAGUGAGGAGCGAUCUAGAAAUAAUGAGGGUGAGAGAACUCUCAGAGCUUUUUCAGCAUGAGAGAAUUCAAAUAGAAGACAAAUCCUUGUAACUAGGUCAGUUCAGUAGUCACAGUAUACAGGGAAGGAAAGAAAUAUUAUGUAGAAGGUCUGUUGGCAAGUUUGGAGAAUUGUGUGGAAGAGGGUUCAGAUCAAUGAUAGAUGGAUUCCGUCUAAGUCUUUUGUGCUGCUUCUGAGCUUUUCUGUUUCUGCCGGCUCAUCAUGGCUUAUCUUCUUUCUCUAGCUAUGUCUUUGUUGAGCUCUUGUAUCUCCUUUGUACUCUUGUUUUAUAUUGGCAGUGACUUCACUAAAUCUCGGUUAUUUAUUGUAAAGUUCAGUAUUUGUAUUCUGCUGCUCAGAAGUGAUAUGUUUUCUGGUGAGUGAUAUUUAUCUGCCAUUAAUUUUUCUGUGAAACUUCUCAUUUUUCAUUUAUCAUGACAUCGUUAUAAACAUCUGUUAAUUCGUUUUGAUUACUCAUCUCUGCAUAAGGAAAUUUCUCAUGGAUGAGUUGUUUAUUGCAGGUUCAAUGGAGGAGAGCCAGGGUUGUGCCCAGGGCUGGCUGUAGUUAAUGGGGUGCAUCUCUCAGUGUCCACUCGUUCCCACCUGACAGUGAAGUCACCUGUAGGUCUGGUCACAGAGCAAAGU
RNAcentral lists this long non-coding RNA (1262 nucleotides) under Felis catus (domestic cat). RNAcentral describes it as "lncRNA (ENSFCAG00000049940.1)". The record is from RNAcentral. Lineage: Eukaryota; Metazoa; Chordata; Mammalia; Carnivora; Felidae.